GUUGUGGUUAUAGCUCGUAGUUGAACCUUGGGCCUGGCUGGCCGGUCCGCCUCACCGCGAGUACUGGCUCGGCCGGGCCUUUCCCCCUGUGGAACCCCAUGCCCUUUACUGGGCGUGGCGGGAAAACAGGACUUUUACUUUGAAAAAAUUAGAGUGCUCCAGGCAGGCCUAUGCUCGAAUACAUUAGCAUGGAAUAAUAGAAUAGGACGUGUGGUUCUAUUUUGUUGGUUUCUAGGACCGCCGUAAUGAUUAAUAGGGACAGUCGGGGGCAUCAGUAUUCAAUUGUCAGAGGUGAAAUUCUUGGAUUUAUUGAAGACUAACUACUGCGAAAGCAUUUGCCAAGGAUGUUUUCAUUAAUCAGGAACGAAAGUUAGGGGAUCGAAGACGAUCAGAUACCGUCGUAGUCUUAACCAUAAACUAUGCCGACUAGGGAUCGGACGAUGUUAUUUUUUGACUCGUUCGGCACCUUACGAGAAAUCAAAGUGCUUGGGCUCCAGGGGGAGUAUGGUCGCAAGGCUGAAACUUAAAGAAAUUGACGGAAGGGCACCACCAGGGGUGGAGCCUGCGGCUUAAUUUGACUCAACACGGGGAAACUCACCAGGUCCAGACACAAUGAGGAUUGACAGAUUGAGAGCUCUUUCUUGAUUUUGUGGGUGGUGGUGCAUGGCCGUUCUUAGUUGGUGGAGUGAUUUGUCUGCUUAUUUGCGAUAACGAACGAGACCUUAACCUGCUAAAUAGCCCGUAUUGCUUUGGCAGUACGCUGGCUUCUAGAGGGACUAUCGGCUCAAGCCGAUGGCAAGUUUGAGGCAAUAACAUGGUCUGGUGAUGACCCAUU
This 835-nucleotide ribosomal RNA is filed under the name uncultured fungus. RNAcentral describes it as "SSU rRNA". It matches the Rfam family "Eukaryotic small subunit ribosomal RNA", at positions 612 to 1476 of the family's 1831-position model. The record is from RNAcentral. Lineage: Eukaryota; Fungi.